GACGAACGCUGGCGGCGUGCCUAAUACAUGCAAGUAGAACGCUGAAGGAGGAGCUUGCUUCUCUGGAUGAGUUGCGAACGGGUGAGUAACGCGUAGGUAACCUGCCUGGUAGCGGGGGAUAACUAUUGGAAACGAUAGCUAAUACCGCAUAAGAGUAGAUGUUGCAUGACAUUUGCUUAAAAGGUGCAAUUGAAUCACUACCAGAUGGACCUGCGUUGUAUUAGCUAGUUGGUGGGGUAACGGCUCACCAAGGCGACGAUACAUAGCCGACCUGAGAGGGUGAUCGGCCACACUGGGACUGGGACACGGCCCAGACUCCUACGGGAGGCAGCAGUAGGGAAUCUUCGGCAAUGGACGGAAGUCUGACCGAGCAACGCCGCGUGAGUGAAGAAGGUUUUCGGAUCGUAAAGCUCUGUUGUAAGAGAAGAACGAGUGUGAGAGUGGAAAGUUCACACUGUGACGGUAUCUUACCAGAAAGGGACGGCUAACUACGUG
Molecule: ribosomal RNA, 495 nt
Filed under: uncultured bacterium
Lineage: Bacteria
Description: partial 16S ribosomal RNA
Rfam family: Bacterial small subunit ribosomal RNA
Source: RNAcentral